GACGAACGCUGGCGGCGUGCUUAACACAUGCAAGUCGAGCGGUAAGGCCCUUUCGGGGGUACACGAGCGGCGAACGGGUGAGUAACACGUGGGUGACCUGCCCUCAGCUCUGGGAUAAGCCUGGGAAACCGGGUCUAAUACCGGAUAUGACUCCAUGACGCAUGUUGUGGGGUGGAAAGCCUUGUGCGGCUGAGGAUGGGCCCGCGGCCUAUCAGCUUGUUGGUGGGGUGANGGCCUACCAAGGCGACGACGGGUAGCCGGCCUGAGAGGGCGACCGACCACACUGGGACUGAGACACGGCCCAGACUCCUACGGGAGGCAGCAGUGGGGAAUCUUGCGCAAUGGGCGAAAGCCUGACGCAGCGACGCCGCGUGAGGGAUGACGGCCU
Molecule: ribosomal RNA, 388 nt
Filed under: uncultured bacterium
Lineage: Bacteria
Description: bacterial SSU rRNA
Rfam family: Bacterial small subunit ribosomal RNA
Source: RNAcentral